UACGGGGGGGGCAAGCGUUGUUCGGAAUUACUGGGCGUAAAGGGCGCGUAGGCGGUUCGCUAAGUUGAAUGUGAAAACUCUGGGCUUAACCCAGAGCCUGCAUCCAAAACUGGCGAACUGGAGUACUGGAGGGGAAAGCGGAAUUCCUGGUGUAGCGGUGAAAUGCGUAGAUAUUCGCAAGAACACCAGUGGCGAAGGCGGCUCACUGGCCCGAUACUGACGCUGAGGCACGAAAGCGUGGGGAGCAAACAGG
RNAcentral lists this ribosomal RNA (253 nucleotides) under uncultured bacterium. RNAcentral describes it as "partial 16S ribosomal RNA". It matches the Rfam family "Bacterial small subunit ribosomal RNA", at positions 524 to 776 of the family's 1533-position model. The record is from RNAcentral.